Molecule: non-coding RNA, 535 nt
Organism: Vicugna pacos (alpaca)
Lineage: Eukaryota; Metazoa; Chordata; Mammalia; Artiodactyla; Camelidae
Source: RefSeq, a predicted model, not a curated record
CAUGUGAAAGUGCAGUCCAGUACCAAAAAGGAAAUUUUUCUGACAGAAGAUCACGCACACGUGGAGCUGAGGGGGUACUUUGCUUUCCCAUGCAGUCAUCCACCAGUCAGGUGUAUUUGACCUCCCAGAUUCCCAUAAAGCACAUGAUCCAACUUAACUGUUACCUAACAAGGCCAGGGUAACUUAUCCGUUCUCACCAUCUAAAGAGAACACUGGCCUGGGAUUGAAGCGCAGACCUUCUAACUGGGAACCUUCCACACAGUCUUCAAGUGACCUACCACAGCACCAGCAGUUGAAAUGAAAGUUCUAAUCUCUUCCCUCCUUCUGCUGCUGCUACUAAUGCUGAUGUCCAUGGUCUCCAGCAGCCCAAAUCCAGGGGUCGCCAGAGGCCACAGGGACCAACGCCAAGGUUGUUCUGGAGGAGGCUCCAGGAAGGCGCCCAAGAAUGUGACUGCAAAGAUUGGUUCCUGAGAGCCUCUGAAAGAAAACUCACAACAGUGCCCUGGCUGCCAGUGCCCCUGUGAUCAUUUCAAGG